CCUACGGGAGGCAGCAGUGAGGAAUAUUGGUCAAUGGGCGCAAGCCUGAACCAGCCAAGUCGCGUGAGGGAUGACGGUCCUAUGGAUUGUAAACCUCUUUUGUCGGGGAGCAAGGCCCGCCAGGUGUGGCGGGAAGGAGAGUACCCGAAGAAAAAGCAUCGGCUAACUCCGUGCCAGCAGCCGCGGUAAUACGGAGGAUGCGAGCGUUAUCCGGAUUUAUUGGGUUAAAAGGGUGCGGAGGCGGAAGGUUAAGUCAGCGGUAAAAUGUCGGGGCUCAACACCGGCCUGCCGUUGAAACUGGUCUUCUUGAGUGAGCGAGAAGUAUGCGGAAUGCGUGGUGUAGCGGUGAAAUGCAUAGAUAUCACGCAGAACUCCGAUUGCGAAGGCAGCAUACCGGCGCUCAACUGACGCUGAGGCACGAAAGCGUGGGGAUCGAACAGGAUUAAAUACCCCAGUAGUC
This 460-nucleotide ribosomal RNA is filed under the name uncultured bacterium. RNAcentral describes it as "partial 16S ribosomal RNA". It matches the Rfam family "Bacterial small subunit ribosomal RNA", at positions 338 to 795 of the family's 1533-position model. The record is from RNAcentral.